CAUUUUUAACCUUUUUUAAUGAACCCUGAUUAUUAUUUAAUUACAAAUGAAGAUGAACAGAUAGAAGGGAAACAGAAGUACAGGUGGAUCCUCCGUGAUAAAAACAAAAGCCUCCGUCUCUCCUCUGGAGUGAAACUUCACCGCCGAGGUGAAAGGAGAGACGAAGACGCUCUGAGAGGACAGGAAGGGACGCAUGUCAAAUAAUACAAUGGUUAAACAGUACAAUGCUCUUCUUUUCUUACAGAAUCCUCCAAAAUGGAAAAAAUAUAUAUAUACACAACAUCAAAAAAAAAGAAAACAAUUGUUUCUUCCCCUCGCUUGUAUAUCAUGUGGGAAUCAUGUGACCCUCCUCUUGUCCACAGUAACAUGGUUAUAAAAUCAGCGUGAGCUUAAAAAUAAAAAUUAAAAAAACAACAAAAAGAGACUGCGCUGAAGCCGACUAGUUAAGGUUCAUGAGGAAAGAGUGCAAACUGGAACAAGAACUCACAGAAAAACAACCAGGAAUUCAUGGAGAAGAGGCCGGGCCAAUGGCAAGAGGGUACAACAAAAUCAAAAAAAUGUUAAUAAUAUAAUAAUUACAAGAGUAACAGUAAUAUGUCUGAAAAAAUACAGGAGAAAAAAAACAAAAGAUAAGAACAGCAUCGGUGAAGUCGAGGGGUGAGAGUAUCGACCUGGCGGGGAAACAGUUGUUCUCUUGUGUUUGUAGUUUGAAGCCACGACAGGUAAGGCAGCACAGGUGUGACAGUUCAGGUGUUGACUUCCUUUAACAGACGCUUGCUAACUGCUACAUCUGUCCUUAAAGUCCCCUAAAUGGAUUUGCAGGCACAGUUUAACAAAUCUUCAGGUUAAAUCCAGAUCAGAAGGAUAGAUGUGAGACUUUCUGGUGCCUGGUGAAGAAAACGAAUGAAAUUAAAGACAGCGAUACAGUUAAAGACUAAAAACUAUUCAAAAACAGGACAAGUUUUGAUUUAUAGUACAUUUUUCUUUGAGCUGUAGCUUUCUUCUGGUUGGAAACGGCACAAAAAAGUGACAAAGGUUGUUAAGAAAAUUGUGUUUGAGAUGCUCACAAUGAAGCUUAAU
This is a long non-coding RNA of Amphiprion ocellaris (clown anemonefish), 1080 nucleotides long. The record is from Ensembl. Lineage: Eukaryota; Metazoa; Chordata; Actinopteri; Pomacentridae.